CGGACGUUGAUCGUCAUAAUUUUGUACAUUCAAGUGGUACGACCGAAAUAAAACUAUCAGAGACGAAUUAAAUGUUCAUUUCUUGAUCUCUUAAAAUUUCAAUGCCAUGAAGAGUACCCAAAGCUAAGUGAUUCUCAAUUAACAGAAAUUCAAAUGGGUAAAACGUGUAACAGAAAUCGACUGCAACACGUCGUUACCCAUGCGACGAUUCGACGGUUGCAAGUGGUAAAGAGCGUGUGUGUGUUUGAAUAAAUGCACGCGGCGGCUGCGGAUCACUCAGAUACGUGAGAAACCGCAAGUAAAAGAGUGUGCGCGUCGCCGUCAAAACUUAACGGCCACAACCGCUGCCGGCGUGCCACGUUGUGUGCAUUUGCGCUCCGAACCGGAGUCUACAGUAACGUACAGGGAGACUGCCAGUUUUACAGCAUGGAACGCCAAAGUCGAAUUUUCCACUCGUUUUAUUUGCACAACAACCAAUUUGGGGCAUAACGUUAUUUUUUUCAAGUAAAACGGUGGAAAUGUGUUUUUCUAUAGAUUCCGAAUGUACGCAAAUGGAAUUCUAAAUUUUAAUGUGCAUAUAAAUACACGUUUAUAAACUGUAUAUGCCUACUUACAAUAAUGAUAAUAAUCAUAUUAUGCACUUUGAUAUGUUUCUACAGCGUAGAAUGUACACGCAACGCAUCUAAACGCAAACGGUAUUUCCCACCGUCCCUUGGGUUUGUUUUAGUCUUUAUUAUUAAUGAUAAAAAGUCGGUUUAACUACAACCGUUGAAUUUCACAAGAAAAAACUAUUUUUACACUGUAUAACGGUACCGUAGAUAUUUUUAGUAGCUUACUUUAAUAGUUUUCCUAAUUUAACAAUGUGCUUAUGUAAUAAUCGAUUACCAGAAACGCUUAUAUUAUUUUUGUCACAAGGAUAUCCCUGGCUACUAUUAGGGACUACGCCAACAUAGAAUAAAUAAAGCUUGUUCUGAAGUCCAAUGUUAGAUGUUUAUUGGACGACUACCCAAGACGCGGUCGUGACUAUUUAUACAAUAACACGGUUUUUGUAUUAACUGUGUUAAUUCGUUUUGUGUUAUUAAAAGUAUUUAUUAAUUUUAAGCUUAAGUAUUCACUUUAUUUCUUUGGACCUGAGUCUUAUCGUUUCUGUGAACCAUAUUACAACUGACACGUGAAGAACCUCGUCCGCGAUAGUUCGACGCUAUAUGACAACUUGAAGUUUGACAGAUGAACGGGUAGAGGAAAGAGGCGCGUUGAAAUGGAGAACCAUAGUCGAGUCUCGGAAUAAAUGAUGAUACUAGAGGCUUUGAUGUUUGUACACUUCUCUUUAAAAACUUUUGAGUGGUAAUAAUGUCUCGUCAACGGUUAAUAUAUUUAAUAUAAUCUACAUGAAUGAAUAAUGAAAAAAUUAUAUUAUGUACAUGAAAUAGGCGUCGCCCAUAAAUGACUGUACGGUGAUAAAUAAUGUUACGCUACAUGUCACUUUAAAACUUAAGCGUUCAAGAUAUUUUACAUUAAACAAUUAAAACCAAUGAUAAUCUUUUGUUGAUCUCGAACACGCAUUGAAUUAAAUCACAUUUCAUUUCAAUUUCCAGCUUGAAAAUAAUUGGCAUACAUUUUACCUCGAGUAACUAUAAUAACAACAUGAAAUUAUUUAAUUUCAAUACAGUAAAUUAUGUUUCGACGAAAUUUAUAACACGAGUAUUAAACAAUUAAGUUUCAAGAAAUUUCUAUAAGAUAUAUUUAAGUUUGUAAAAAUCCAUAAAAACCGAAGUUUUUCAACGAUAUUUCCAAAGAGUCGAUUUAACUAUAUGCGAUGUGUAUCUAGUUGAAAAUAUUACUUUGAAAAAUUGAAAUUUUUCCAUCGUUCACUGUAAAUGAUGAAAAUUCUCAAAAAUUUUGAUUUAUAACAACGGUAAAUUACGACAUUUUUUAAACUUUUUUUCUUAAUACUGUCAUAAUUUUUUGAAAAAUGAACGAAUCAAAAUAUUCCCUGUUUGCCUCAAUGUGAAAACGACCCUCAAAGUUAAAAAAGCUAUUUUUGUGUAAAAAAAAACACUAUUUUUUGAUUAUUAUUAUUUUCUACUUUUUUCUACUUUUUAUUAUUUUUAAUUAUGAAUACCUAUCAUUAUAUUCAAAUACUCUAAAAAGGGUUUAAUACUGGUACCUAAAUACCUCGUUUUAAAUAUAUUUUUAUUUUAUUGAUAAUAUUCUUAUCUUUUAUAAAUGAUCAAUAAUUGUCCGUGAUAUUACUCGCACAACAGGUUUCUAAAUAAAUACAAUAUUUUAUUAGAAUGAUCUUUCUACCAUGUUCUAUGGUGUUAUGUUACCGUCUAAAUUAUGGAGAAAUCUGGUCACAAAUGAGGAUACACGAGUGUCCACAAAGAACAGCUGGAUUUGUUUUAUUAAAUAAUACAAAUAUAAUAAUAAUAAUA
This is a long non-coding RNA of Daktulosphaira vitifoliae (grape phylloxera), 2435 nucleotides long. RefSeq lists it as uncharacterized. The record is from RefSeq and is a predicted model, not a curated record. The transcript is spliced from 2 exons. Lineage: Eukaryota; Metazoa; Arthropoda; Insecta; Hemiptera; Phylloxeridae.